GACGAACGCUGGCGGCGCGCCUAACACAUGCAAGUCGAACGGAGAUUACAGGCGGAAGUUUUCGGAUGGAAGCUUGUAAACUUAGUGGCGGACGGGUGAGUAACACGUGAGCAACCUGCCUAUCAGAGGGGGAUAACGAUUGGAAACGAUCGCUAAUACCGCAUGACAUAGCGGAAUCGCAUGGUUCUGCUAUCAAAGAUUUUANCGCUGAUAGAUGGGCUCGCGUCCGAUUAGAUAGUUGGUGGGUAACGGCCUACCAAGUCGACGAUCGGUAGCCGGACUGAGAGGUCGAACGGCCACAUUGGGACUGAGACACGGCCCAGACUCCUACGGAGGCAGCAGUGGGGGAUAUUGCACAAAUGGGGGGAAACCCUGAUGCAGCGACGCCGCGUGAGGGAAGAACGGUCCUCUGGAUUGU
This 418-nucleotide ribosomal RNA is filed under the name uncultured bacterium. RNAcentral's name for it is "bacterial SSU rRNA". It matches the Rfam family "Bacterial small subunit ribosomal RNA", at positions 28 to 426 of the family's 1533-position model. The record is from RNAcentral.